UGACGGGCAGUGGACGAUUAGAGUUUGAUCCUGGCUCAGGACGAACGCUGGCGGCGUGCUUAACACAUGCAAGUCGAACGGAAAGGCCCUGCUUUUGUGGGGUGCUCGAGUGGCGAACGGGUGAGUAACACGUGAGUAACCUGCCCUUGACUUUGGGAUAACUUCAGGAAACUGGGGCUAAUACCGGAUAGGAGCUCCUGCUGCAUGGUGGGGGUUGGAAAGUUUCGGCGGUUGGGGAUGGACUCGCGGCUUAUCAGCUUGUUGGUGGGGUAGUGGCUUACCAAGGCUUUGACGGGUAGCCGGCCUGAGAGGGUGACCGGCCACAUUGGGACUGAGAUACGGCCCAGACUCCUACGGGAGGCAGCAGUGGGGAAUAUUGCACAAUGGGCGGAAGCCUGAUGCAGCAACGCCGCGUGCGGGAUGACGGCCUUCGGGUUGUAAACCGCUUUCGCCUGUGACGAAGCGUGAGUGACGGUAAUGGGUAAAGAAGCACCGGCUAACUACGUGCCAGCAGCCGCGGUGAUACGUAGGGUGCGAGCGUUGUCCGGAUUUAUUGGGCGUAAAGGGCUCGUAGGUGGUUGAUCGCGUCGGAAGUGUAAUCUUGGGGCUUAACCCUGAGCGUGCUUUCGAUACGGGUUGACUUGAGGAAGGUAGGGGAGAAUGGAAUUCCUGGUGGAGCGGUGGAAUGCACAGAUAUCAGGAGGAACACCAGUGGCGAAGGCGGUUCUCUGGGCCUUUCCUGACGCUGAGGAGCGAAAGCGUGGGGAGCGAACAGGCUUAGAUACCCUGGUAGUCCACGCUGUAAACGGUGGGUACUAGGUGUGGGGUCCAUUCCACGGGUUCCGUGCCGUAGCUAACGCUUUAAGUACCCCGCCUGGGGAGUACGGCCGCAAGGCUAAAACUCAAAGGAAUUGACGGGGCCCCGCACAAGCGGCGGAGCAUGCGGAUUAAUUCGAUGCAACGCGUAGAACCUUACCUGGGUUUGACAUGGAUCGGGAGUGCUCAGAGAUGGGUGUGCCUCUUUUGGGGUCGGUUCACAGGUGGUGCAUGGCUGUCGUCAGCUCGUGUCGUGAGAUGUUGGGUUAAGUCCCGCAACGAGCGCAACCCUUGCUCACUGUUGCCAGCACGUUAUGGUGGGGACUCAGUGGAGACCGCCGGGGUCAACUCGGAGGAAGGUGGGGAUGACGUCAAGUCAUCAUGCCCCUUAUGUCCAGGGCUUCACGCAUGCUACAAUGGCUGGUACAGAGAGUGGCGAGCCUGUGAGGGUGAGCGAAUCUCGGAAAGCCGGUCUCAGUUCGGAUUGGGGUCUGCAACUCGACCUCAUGAAGUCGGAGUCGCUAGUAAUCGCAGAUCAGCAACGCUGCGGUGAAUACGUUCCCGGGGCUUGUACACACCGCCCGUCAAGUCAUGAAAGUUGGUAACACCCGAAGCCGGUGGCCUAACCGUUGUGGGGGAGCCGUCGAAGGUGGGACUGGUGAUUAGGACUAAGUCGUAACAAGGUAACCAAGCCGUAGCAAGGUAACCUAGAGUUUGAUCCUGGCUCAGGAAGUCGUAACAAGGUAACC
This 1565-nucleotide ribosomal RNA is filed under the name uncultured bacterium. RNAcentral's name for it is "bacterial SSU rRNA". It matches the Rfam family "Bacterial small subunit ribosomal RNA". The record is from RNAcentral.